GCUGGGUGUGGUGGUGCACGCCUGUAAUCCCAGCUACUCAGGAGGCUGAGGCAGGAGAAUCAGGAGUUCAAGGCCAGCCUGGCAUUGUUGUGAGACCCUGUCUCAA
This 106-nucleotide small RNA is filed under the name Marmota monax (woodchuck). The record is from RNAcentral. Lineage: Eukaryota; Metazoa; Chordata; Mammalia; Rodentia; Sciuridae.